CACUGUCACUCCUACGGGGAGGCAGCAGUGAGGAAUAUUGGACAAUGGGCGAAGCCUGAUCCAGCCAUGCCGCGUGCAGGAAGACUGCCCUAUGGGUUGUAAACUGCUUUUAUACAGGAAGAAUAAGUCCGACGUGUCGGAUGAUGACGGUACUGUAAGAAUAAGGAUCGGCUAACUCCGUGCCAGCAGCCGCGGUAAUACGGAGGAUUCGAGCGUUAUCCGGAAUCAUUGGGUUUAAAGGGUUCGUAGGCGGGUUUGUAAGUCAGGGGUGAAAGUUUACGGCUCAACCGUGAAAUUGCCUUUGAUACUGCAGAUCUUGAAUAUUUGUGAAGUAACUAGAAUAUGUGGUGUAGCGGUGAAAUGCAUAGAUAUCACAUGGAAUACCGAUUGCGAAGGCAGGUUACUAACAGAUUAUUGACGCUGAUGGACGAAAGCGUGGGUAGCGAACAGGAUUAGAUACCCUGGUAG
RNAcentral lists this ribosomal RNA (468 nucleotides) under uncultured bacterium. RNAcentral describes it as "bacterial SSU rRNA". It matches the Rfam family "Bacterial small subunit ribosomal RNA", at positions 325 to 793 of the family's 1533-position model. The record is from RNAcentral.